RNAcentral lists this ribosomal RNA (468 nucleotides) under uncultured bacterium. Its description in RNAcentral is "partial 16S ribosomal RNA". It matches the Rfam family "Bacterial small subunit ribosomal RNA", at positions 28 to 507 of the family's 1533-position model. The record is from RNAcentral.
GACGAACGCUGGCGGCGUGCUUAACACAUGCAAGUCGAACGGAAAGGCCCUGCUUUUGUGGGGUGCUCGAGUGGCGAAAGGGUGAGUAACACGUGAGUAACCUGCCCUUGACUUUGGGAUAACUUCAGGAAACUGGGGCUAAUACCGGAUAGGAGCUCCUGCUGCAUGGUGGGGGUUGGAAAGUUUCGGCGGUUGGGGAUGGACUCGCGGCUUAUCAGCUUGUUGGUGGGGUAGUGGCUUACCAAGGCUUUGACGGGUAGCCGGCCUGAGAGGGUGACCGGCCACAUUGGGACUGAGGUACGGGCCAGACUCGUACGGGAGGCAGCAGUGGGGAAUAGUGCACAAUGGGGGGGAGGCUGAUGCAGCAACGCCGCGUGCGGGAUGACGGCCUUCGGGUUGUAAACCGCUUUCGCCUGUGACGAAGCGGGAGUGACGGUAAUGGGUAAAGAAGCACCGGCUAACUACGUG